AACGAGGCCGACCUGCGGCUGAGUUACCUGCGGAGGGAUCAUUAAAGAGAAAACUGCCCUUUGGGUAGAUCUCCCACCCUUUGUUUACCUUACCUUUGUUGCUUUGGCAGGCCCGUCUUCUGACCACCGGCUUUUAGCUGGUCCGUGCCUGCCAGAGGACCCCCAACUCUUGAUUUCAAGUUGUCCGAGUCUUAUAUAAUAGUAAAAACUUUCAACAACGGAUCUCAGAUCGGAAGAGCA
RNAcentral lists this unclassified non-coding RNA (240 nucleotides) under soil metagenome. RNAcentral describes it as "partial contains 5.8S ribosomal RNA, internal transcribed spacer 2, and large subunit ribosomal RNA". The record is from RNAcentral.